AUCACCUGGGGAUCUUCUUAAAAUGCAGAUUCUGAUUCAGUAGGUCAGCUGGGGUCUAAGACUCUGUAUUUCUAACAAGAUCCCAGGUGAGGCUGC
This 96-nucleotide microRNA precursor is filed under the name Pteropus alecto (black flying fox). RNAcentral's name for it is "mir-544 microRNA precursor family". It matches the Rfam family "mir-544 microRNA precursor family". Lineage: Eukaryota; Metazoa; Chordata; Mammalia; Chiroptera; Pteropodidae. The record is from Rfam by way of RNAcentral.